CCCUUAGAUGUCCGGGGCUGCACGCGCGCUACACUGUAGAAAGCAGCGUGCUUUAAAACCUUUCCUGAAAAGGAUGGGUAACCCCAGCAAAAUUCUACGUGCUUGGGAUAGAGAUUUGCAAUUUUCUCUCUUGAACGAGGAAUUCCUAGUAAGCGCGAGUCAUCAGCUCGUGCUGAUUACGUCCCUGCCCUUUGUACACACCGCCCGUCGCUCCUACCGAUUGAGUGUUCCGGUGAAUAAUUCGGACUGCGGCUGAUUGGGGACUCUUCAGUCGGCUGUGGAAAGUCUAGUGAACCUUAACACUUAGAGGAAGGAGAAGUCGUAACA
Molecule: ribosomal RNA, 327 nt
Filed under: uncultured eukaryote
Lineage: Eukaryota
Description: partial 18S ribosomal RNA
Rfam family: Eukaryotic small subunit ribosomal RNA
Source: RNAcentral